This 24-nucleotide non-coding RNA is filed under the name Cricetulus griseus (Chinese hamster). The record is from RNAcentral. Lineage: Eukaryota; Metazoa; Chordata; Mammalia; Rodentia; Cricetidae.
GCGGUAUGAUAAAACUGGAGCUCU